RNAcentral lists this ribosomal RNA (402 nucleotides) under bacterium. Its description in RNAcentral is "partial 16S ribosomal RNA". It matches the Rfam family "Bacterial small subunit ribosomal RNA", at positions 355 to 776 of the family's 1533-position model. The record is from RNAcentral.
UGGGGAAUUUUGCACAAUGGGGGAAACCCUGAUGCAGCGACGCCGCGUGAUUUAGAAGGCCUUCGGGUUGUAAAAAUCUUUUCUAUGGGAAGAAAAUGACAGUACCAUAGGAAUAAGGACCGGCUAAUUACGUGCCAGCAGCCGCGGUAAUACGUAAGGUCCGAGCGUUGUCCGGAAUCAUUGGGCGUAAAGGGUACGUAGGCGGGUAAGCAAGUUAGAAGUGAAAUCCUAUAGCUCAACUAUAGUAAGCUUUUAAAACUGCUCAUCUUGAGGUAUGGAAGGUAAAGUGGAAUUCCUAGUGUAGCGGUGAAAUGCGCAGAUAUUAGGAGGAAUACCGGUGGCGAAGGCGACUUUCUGGCCAUAACCUGACGCUGAGGUACGAAAGCGUGGGUAGCAAACAGG